This 1136-nucleotide long non-coding RNA is filed under the name Citrus maxima (pomelo). RNAcentral describes it as "long non-coding RNA (CMAX_LNC002417)". Lineage: Eukaryota; Viridiplantae; Streptophyta; Magnoliopsida; Sapindales; Rutaceae. The record is from RNAcentral.
CCCCAAAAUCCCCAACUCCAUUAUCUUUCAAAUUGGUUCCGUAGCCCCCAAAUCCCUUAAACCCAAAUCACUCCAUUAUCUUCCAAAUGAAAACAUUCAGCCCAAAAUCUCCAACUCCAUUAUCUUCCAAAUUGGUUUCGUAGCCCCCAAAUCCCUUAAACCCAAAUCACUCUAAAACGAAACCCAGCAACACCACUCUAGCUUCUUCACUUGUCUUCACCAUCUUCUUCCAAGUAUGUUUUAUUUUUCAUUUUAUUUAUUUCUGUUUUGGUAUUCGAUUUGCAUGGUGAUGGGUUUUGUUUUAUAUAAUGAUGGGUUUUGUUUGAUAGAAUUUGGGUCUUGAUUUUCCAUUAAUUUUUUUAUUUGACGAUAUGUUCCAUUUUGUAUGAGUGUAUGGACUGUUCAAAAAUAUACACUAUAUAUUUAUAUAAUUGAGAUGCAGAGUAGUAUAAGGGUUUCGUUUUCUAUGAUGAUGAUUUUCGUUUUUUGGCAUUUGGCCUUGACCUUUCAUGGAAAUUUUAAUUUGAUGAUGGGUUUCGUUUUGUAUAAGUGUUUGGAGUGUUGGAAAAUGAACAUUGUAUAUUUUAGAUAGCUGAGUUCCAUAGUAAUAAAAAGCUACGAAUUUGUUUUCUUUGUAUUGAAAUGUAUUUUGACCAUAUUAUGUUGUCUGAUUAGUGAUAGUUUUAUGUUUGUCAAUUCCAGGAGUCUCUUAAUCGCAACGUCAUCUAGCAAAAGUGACUUCGAAACUCACUGUGAAUAUGUGAAGAAUGCGGUGAUCAUAAGGAGUUGUUAACUGUAGGAGCAUUGAAUGUGCAGAAGACCGAAAGUAUAACAACAAGAAAUUUGACAUCUUAGAAAGCUAGCAGUGUAGAUUGAAUGUUUAUUGUUUAUAGAUGAACUAGCAAUAGUACUUAACUGUAAUUCUCAGUGAAUGUAGCUGAUCUUCAUGUGGUUUCUUUCUGUUCUUAAUCCUGCUCUAUUCAAAGAGCAUGUGAAAUCUGUCUUGGUUGUUUUUCUGAGCUUGACAUGGAAACUGAUAUAUUAUAGGCACUUCACCAAUAUUUUUUUCCAUAAUCUUUCAUUUUCUUAAUCACUUUGGAAAAUUUCUUUGGGAAUACAACAACAAGUUCUUUGGG